UACAGACUGCCAGAAAACAAAUUUCAGGCAUCCUCCUUUAAAUUCAAAGCACCUGGAAGCACCAAACUUACUCUUAUUUUGAAGGUUCCAUUUUUCAUUCAUUUUUUCCUGGCUGUCACAUGAGACUGAGUUUAUACAUUAAUAAAGAGUAACAUUUAGCUCUGUGAAAUGGUUACAGAAGGUGUUUUUAAUUAAUCUUCAGGACAUCUUAGGUUUUAGGAAGUGGCUUUUGGCAGCUGUCCCUUUGACUCCUUCCUUUACUCCUCAGCCACCACUGAAUGCCCCACUUCUCUGCUCUUACACCCAGCAGGUGGGAAGAUGAGCAGGCAAGGAGGUGCUGGGGCCAUGGCCAGGUCCUGGCGGUUGUAACAGCGUCAGAGGGAAGGCAAAAUGAAGGGUGGAACAUUCCUCCCACCCUGCCUGUAGCCGGCACGUGUCCACGCAGCCUGAAGUGAAUCUCUUGGUGGGAGGCAACACUGUGAGAGCGGGGCCUUGGAGGAAAUGUCCUGAAAGUCACCUGCUGAGAAGGCAGAGCACUGCCAAGUCGGUCACAGCCACUUGAUGUUGCGUACCAUGGGACAGCGGCUGACAGCGAGGUGUGGGCAGCUGCAUCUGAUGAACAGUAGGAGUUUAUUGAGUUGGCAUUUGAUUGUUGGCCCGUGUUUGGCAGAUGUCUGCAGCAACGCAUAACGUGAGGGUUGGGCAGGCACAUUGACAGUACAUGCUCCUAUGUACCCUUGUAUCUACUGAAUCACAGACUCACAGAGUGGUUUGAGUUGAAAGGAACUUUAAAGGCCAUCCAGUUCCAGCCUGUGCCAUGGGCAGUGACAGCCCCCACUACACAAUGGUACCCAAACGUGAAGGUGGAAUCCAACUAACUCACCUUGCCUUUCUUAUCAUGAAGCCAAGUGUUCGUCCACAAUACAUUUCCACUGUUCCAAUGAAGUUAAAGACCUGCACUACUUAUGGCUGUUGAGCAUUCUCUCCUGAUGCUCUUUGAAAGCACUGAGCUCCCAGGAGCUGAGCUGCAGGAUGGGCUCGGGGCAGCGAUGAGACGCACAGAGGCAUCUCAUUGAGCAUAUGGGAGGAAAUGAGAAGUGAUCUCAUUUCUUCCCAUGGAGUUUAGAAGUAAGAAAGACAGCAAAAGUGACUUGAAUGUCUUAAAAUGCCUCUCUCCACAUCCAGAAGAAUACAGUCGCAGCAAAGUCAUUUUAUAAGAGAGCCCUAGCGGAUACAAGUGAUACGGCAACUCUUAUAACACUCUAAAACAUCUAUAAAAUUAAUUAUACAUGUUAUCAAAAUGAUUCAUACCAGCCGUGGUAAAUCCCAUUCUUUACAAGUGAGAGUUUAAGUCACAGUUCGCUGCCUCUUAACAGCUGCACAAAUAGAGCGCACUGUCGCCAUGGGGUUGAAAAAGGGAUAGCAUGUCACCUUUCAAAUUUCAUAAGAAUGUGAGAUGUAAUUGCACGCUUCGAGACAGAGGCAGUACUUCUGGGAUCUGUAACCCAGCUCAGUUGUCAGAGACAGGAAAGCAAAUAAGCAGAACAUAAAAAAGCCUCCCAUGUUAAGAGAUGGCUUUAACCGCAGAGGCUUUCCGAUCAGACCUGUUUCCUCGCCAUCCUUCUUAUUUUCCCAUAACUUGAAGAAUAACAGGGUCCGGCCCAGGUCUUCAGAUGCCACCAACCCUGGUGGAGAAAUUGCAUUUGCUUGGUGAAUGUUCCAGUCUGUUCCUACUAAAGAGCAAGAAAUCGCAGCUCUGGAAACUCUGGGAGGGAUCCAUGGAGUCCUGGCUGUACAUCCUAGAAGUUCUACGUUGUUUAUAGCUAUUUCUUUUUUUUUAAGUUUCUUAUGUUAACCUUUGGGAUAUCUGGGACAUAUGGAUUGGUGCACUGAAGCACAUUUUUAAGAACUGAAAUAAAGGAUUUCUUUUUUUUUUUUUGUCAGUUUUCACUUUAUUUUGUAACCUCUGCUGUAUGCAGAAUAAACACUUGUGUAAUAUAGAAGUCUCACCUGAAUUGUAACUUUUUGUGUUUGAGUUGGAAGGGACCAUU
Molecule: long non-coding RNA, 2051 nt
Organism: Gallus gallus (chicken)
Lineage: Eukaryota; Metazoa; Chordata; Aves; Galliformes; Phasianidae
Source: Ensembl